UACGGAGGGUGCAAGCGUUAUCCGGAAUUACUGGGCGUAAAGGGUCCGCAGGUGGCAGUGUAAGUCUGCUGUCAAAGAAUGAGGCUUAACCUUAUCAAGGCAGUGGAAACUACACAGCUAGAGUACGGUCGGGGUAGAAGGAAUUCCUGGUGUAGCGGUGAAAUGCGUAGAGAUCAGGAAGAACACCGGUGGCGAAAGCGUACUGCUGGACCUGUACUGACACUGAGGGACGAAAGCUAGGGGAGCGAAUGGG
This 253-nucleotide ribosomal RNA is filed under the name uncultured bacterium. RNAcentral's name for it is "partial 16S ribosomal RNA". It matches the Rfam family "Bacterial small subunit ribosomal RNA", at positions 524 to 776 of the family's 1533-position model. The record is from RNAcentral.